GAUGAACGCUGGCGGCGUGCUUAACACAUGCAAGUCGAACGGUGAAGGCGGAGCUUGCUCUGCUGGAUCAGUGGCGAACGGGUGAGUAACACGUGAGCAAUCUGCCCCUGACUCUGGGAUAAGCGCUGGAAACGGCGUCUAAUACUGGAUACGAGCUGCGAAGGCAUCUUCAGCAGCUGGAAGAACUUCGGUCAGGGAUGAGCUCGCGGCCUAUCAGCUUGUUGGUGAGGUAACGGCUCACCAAGGCGUCGACGGGUAGCCGGCCUGAGAGGGUGACCGGCCACACUGGGACUGAGACACGGCCCAGACUCCUACGGGAGGCAGCAGUGGGGAAUAUUGCACAAUGGGCGAAAGCCUGAUGCAGCAACGCCGCGUGAGGGACGACGGCCUUCGGGUUGUAAACCUCUUUUAGCAGGGAAGAAGCGAAAGUGACGGUACCUGCAGAAAAAGCGCCGGCUAACUACGUG
Molecule: ribosomal RNA, 467 nt
Filed under: uncultured bacterium
Lineage: Bacteria
Description: partial 16S ribosomal RNA
Rfam family: Bacterial small subunit ribosomal RNA
Source: RNAcentral